This 586-nucleotide long non-coding RNA is filed under the name Nicotiana tabacum (common tobacco). RNAcentral describes it as "long non-coding RNA (NTAB_LNC017644)". The record is from RNAcentral. Lineage: Eukaryota; Viridiplantae; Streptophyta; Magnoliopsida; Solanales; Solanaceae.
CUCUGGCAAAGAAGGCAGUGCUUAGCCUUAUGCAAGGUGAGGGCAGUGCCUAGCCCUAUGCAAGGAACGGAGACAAUGCUUAGUCUCAUGCAAAGAAAGGCAACGUUUAGCCUUAUUCAAUGGUUAGGGCAGUGUUUAGCCCUAUGCAAAGAGUGGAAACAAUGAUUAGUCUAAUGUAGGAAAGGAGACAAUAUCUAGUCUCAUGCAAGGAAAGGAGACAAUGCUUAGUGUCUGGAAAGGAAAGGCAAUGCUUAGCCUUAUACAAGGUGAGGGUGGUGCCUAGCCCAUAUGCAAGGAGUGGAGACAAUGCUUAGUCUCUUGCAGGGAAAGGAGACCGCGCUUAGCCUCUGGCAAAGAAGACAGUGCUUAUCCUUUUGCAAGGUGAGGGCAGUGCAUAGCCCUAUGCAAGGAGUGGAGACAAUGCUUAGUCUCAUGCAAAGAAAGGCAGUGCUUAGUCUUAUGCAACCAAACUUCGAUCCGUUAACCAUCCAAACUCCACUGGAGGGUCCUGGGACCUCAACCAAACAUACCAACAAGUCCUAAAAUAUGACACAAACUUAGUUAAGGCCUCAAAUCACAUCAACCA